CGUGCAAUUCCCAAAUUCAAACCUUAUUCAAACAUCUUCACCCCCAAAUUCAAAACCCUCGUCCGCCACCCUAAUCGUGCAAUUCCCUCAGGUGACCUCGAUCAUCAUUCAUCCUCAAAUUGAAUAUCUCUAGCCCCACCGCCCUACCUUCCUCCCACCGUGCGGCAUCUCCUCUGCGUGAGUCCACAGCGCCGUUUACUCUGAAUUGCUGUAUCGACCGUCAAAGUCUGUUGCGCCGUCGAGCUCUGAAUCGCUCUCCACCGACGUGCGCCGUCGAGAUCGAGUCUCUCACCUGUAUUGUAGCUCCUAAAUUGAAUUACUCUCCACCGUCGCGCUAUCUCCGCCAUGGAAUUAGCACUGCGUUGCCGUUUGAAACUUCACGGUGUUGUUGAUUCCAACGAUGAUCCUAGCUAGCAGAUUUAGUUGAGAGUGAAUUCUUGGGAGAAUAGGUAAAAUAAAUUACUCAAGAUGACAGAUGACAAGAUGAAUAGAGGAGAUGGUGCUCUAAGAGGAGAUAGCCUUUGAGUCUUCUAGCAGCACUGGCCACGUCACAAUGAGGUUUUGGAAUUAGCAUCGAACUUUCUUCCUCUGAGCUUGCAUGGAUUCUUGAUUUACAGCGAUUGUGAUGCGUGGUAAUGUGGUGAAUACCUCUACGUUUAUUACCAAAUGCUUUUAAUUUCUUGAUUGUUAACUUGUAAUUGUAGUUUUUGUACUCUGUAACUUUUACCCUUAAAAGACAACUCUUGUUUUUCUUUUUCAGCUUCAAUGAAGUGGUAAUGUCUGUAGUUCAAAGUGUUGCAUCAUUGAUUUUAGAAGCUGUCUUGCCUUUGGGAAAAAGAAGUGAAUAAAAUUUGUGGUGGUGAAGUUCUGCAUAGUUCAAUACUACCUAUGGUUCCAAAAUUAGAUUAGUCAUCUACUCAUAACUAAUUUUGAUGUUCCUUGGCUUUGAGGUAAACAUCAUUGCUUUAACAUUUUGAAUGCUUGAGAUGCUGCAGAUUUCAAAAAAAAAAAAAAAGACAAUCUUGCCAGGGGAUAUCAAGAUGGCAGAUUUCAAGCAAUUUCUUGUGGUCAAGGGAUUCAGAUAAAGAACUUGGAUCCUUUGCCCAGGCAUGCUAUUGCUGCUGCCCACUCCAAAUCUUUAAGGUGAAUUUGAUCCUUCAAGGCUUUACUGUUUAUAUUUGGUUGGGGCUAUACCACAAGUGCGUUCAUUUCAUAUUUUCAACAGACAAACAUGACAAGUUUCCAGUUAAUGUCGAAUCUAAGCUUUUAUCUUUUCAACCUGAAGGUAUCAAGUAAGUAAUAGCUCUCCAUAAUUUGAUUAUCCUCACAUUCAGCUUAGGACUGCAGUUUGUGUCUUAAUCCUUAGUGACAUCAACAUUUAUUAAUCAGUUCCAUCUGAAUCUCAUUUAAGUAUAUGUUCUUCUCAGGUUCAUAUUGCAGCAUGGAGUGGGGAUCCUUUUCGAUGAUGAAAUGGGGCUAGAAAGAGUCUUUAGGCACUAGGCGUUUUAUAAGUUUGUGCUUUGUUCCUUGUAUUCUCUUAAUCUAGAUCUUGUUGUCAAGAUAGAUUUGUGUAUAACAACUUUGGAAAAUGAAUUUCAUUUUCUGUAUUGCAAAUCAAUAAAAUAUACUAUUUGUUCC
Molecule: long non-coding RNA, 1638 nt
Organism: Salvia miltiorrhiza (redroot sage)
Lineage: Eukaryota; Viridiplantae; Streptophyta; Magnoliopsida; Lamiales; Lamiaceae
Exons: 6
Source: RefSeq, a predicted model, not a curated record